Molecule: non-coding RNA, 206 nt
Organism: Oryza barthii
Lineage: Eukaryota; Viridiplantae; Streptophyta; Magnoliopsida; Poales; Poaceae
Source: Rfam
AAAAAAAACAAACUCUGGUUUCCGUGCCCAAUGUUUGACCGUCCGUCUUAUUUGAAAAAAUUAUAAAAAAAAUUAAAAAGACAAGUCACGCAUAAAAUAUUAAUCAUGUUUUAUCAUCUAACAACAAUGAAAAUACGAAUUAUAAAAAAAUUUCAUAUAAUACGGAUAGUCAAAGUUAGAUAUAGAAAUCCAGGGUUUGCCUUUUU